UACAGAGACCUCAAGCGUUAUCCGGAAUCACUGGGCGUAAAGCGUACCGAUAGGUGGUUUUGUAAGUCUUUGGUGAAAGCCCCGAGCUCAACUCGGGAAUCGCCAAGGAAACUAUAAGACUAGAGGAACAAAGAGGGAGCUGGAACUUUGGGUGUAGCGGUGAAAUGCGUUGAUAUCCAAAGGAACACUAAUAGCGAAGGCAGGCUCCUGGGUGUUUCCUGACACUGCUAGGACGAAAGCGUGGGUAGCGAAUGGG
This 256-nucleotide ribosomal RNA is filed under the name uncultured bacterium. RNAcentral's name for it is "partial 16S ribosomal RNA". It matches the Rfam family "Bacterial small subunit ribosomal RNA", at positions 524 to 776 of the family's 1533-position model. The record is from RNAcentral.